Tachysurus fulvidraco (yellow catfish) is the source of this 416-nucleotide long non-coding RNA. RefSeq lists it as uncharacterized. The record is from RefSeq and is a predicted model, not a curated record. The transcript has 3 exons. Lineage: Eukaryota; Metazoa; Chordata; Actinopteri; Siluriformes; Bagridae.
CACUGCUGUAAAACACCUCACUAUACUGACCUCACAUCAGUAGAAUUGUCUCUGGUUUUGAAGUCAAUUGGACGUCCCAUUGACGCGUCACUCUUCAUGGACACACAGCUGGGUUCUGGUCUGAUGACUGUCACAAAAAACAGAAAGUGACACCACGAUGUCUAUGGAAAGUAGAAGACUAUUCAGAACAUGUCCCAGUCUCUGUUAAAAGAAGGGUGAUAUACUGUAUGCUUGUCAGCACGGAAAGAACUACAAGAAGACAACCACAACAGAUGAUUUGCAAACUGAACAUGAAUACACAAGAAGAAAAAGGUUCCAUGUGGAUUGUCCAGCAAAACUUUAUGUCUGAUAUGUAGAAAGGUAAGUAUUACAUUAGCAUGGCUUUAUAUACACUUUACAUAAUAUGUAGACAGGAA